UAAAUAAGAAACAAUUAAUUGUAUUUAGUUUCGACCUAAAAUUUUGAUGUUACUCAUCCUUAUUUAU
RNAcentral lists this transfer RNA (67 nucleotides) under Dermestes frischii. RNAcentral describes it as "tRNA-Arg". The record is from RNAcentral. Lineage: Eukaryota; Metazoa; Arthropoda; Insecta; Coleoptera; Dermestidae.